RNAcentral lists this microRNA (22 nucleotides) under Echinococcus granulosus. Its description in RNAcentral is "egr-miR-10241-3p". The record is from miRBase by way of RNAcentral. Lineage: Eukaryota; Metazoa; Platyhelminthes; Cestoda; Cyclophyllidea; Taeniidae.
UGAACCGUUUCUACCAUUCAUA